GCGGGUGUGGUUCAGUGGCAGAACGGAACCUUGCCAUGGUUCAGACGAGGGUUCGAUUCCCUUCACCCGCUCCC
Molecule: transfer RNA, 74 nt
Filed under: Candidatus Yanofskybacteria bacterium RIFCSPHIGHO2_02_FULL_43_22
Lineage: Bacteria; Candidatus Yanofskyibacteriota
Description: tRNA-Gly
Rfam family: tRNA
About the family: Transfer RNA (tRNA) molecules are approximately 80 nucleotides in length.
Source: RNAcentral